Homo sapiens (human) is the source of this 1119-nucleotide long non-coding RNA. RefSeq lists it as uncharacterized. NCBI's taxonomy places the organism in Eukaryota, Metazoa, Chordata, Mammalia, Primates, Hominidae. The transcript has 2 exons. The record is from RefSeq and is a predicted model, not a curated record.
CCCAGGUUCAAGUGAUUUUCAUGCCUCAGCCUCCCAGCUCUCUGAAUUUUGGAUCAUUCACUCUGAGGGAAGCCAGCUGCCAUGACAUGAGGAUACUCAAGCAGCCUGUGGAGUGGCCCAUAUGGAGUGUGACUGAGGCCUCCCAGCAACAGCCAGUGUCAGCAUGCCAGCUAUGUGAGUGAGCUACUUUGGAAGCAGAUCCUCCAUCCCCAGUCAAGCCUUCCAAUGACUGUGGUCCCAGUUGACAUCCUGACUGCAACCUCAUGAGAAAUCCUAAGCUAGAAUCACCCAUCCAAGGCAUUUUCAAACUUCUGAUCCACAGAGACUGUGUGAUGCAAUUAAUGCUUAUUAUCGAUUUAAGCUAGAAAGUUUUGGAGUAAUUCAUAAUACAGCAAUACAUAAUGAAUUCAGCUAUUUGGUAGCUUUGUUCUCUAAGUUUUGGGUUCCCCUUCUGUAAAAUGGAGAUAAGUAUUUUAUAAUGUAGUUUUGAAGAUAAAAUGAGUUAAUAGUAAAGCCUAUCAUUGACUGAGUCCAUGUAAAUACUAUUACACGAUCUUGUACUGUGCUAGCUUGUGAAUUAACGAGGGUGUUACAGACAACAGCCUUUGGAACUCAGGCCAACCUACACAAGCAAUCCCUAAGGAUUGGGAAAGGGUGGUGUUUUCAGUGAUGGUUGUGGUCUUCUUGCAUUGUGUAAAGUCUGUUUCUACCAAUGUGGUCUUUCUUAAUAGGCAUUAAAUUUGAAUGUUAUCUUCCACAUGUGUAGAAAUUCCUUCAUUGUGAGAAUUCAGAGGGGUGGCAUUUAGGGCAGUUCGAUCCCCUUCAUUAUGAGAACAAGGAACCAUCAUGGGAUGACUCAGGAUCUGGGAAGCAGUGUUGUCUACAGCCUUGGUUUAUUUUUUAUUUUUUAUUUGGGAAGACCAGGAUUCAAAUAUUAGCCUUUCCCAUUGUCUAUGUUGUUUUGGCCAAAUUACCAACCUCUCUGAGCGUCUAGUAUUUCAUGUAUGAAAUGUGACUAGUAAUACCUACUUUAUAAGGCUGUUGUGAGUUGUAUUGAAUUUAAGUAUGAAAGAGUAUCCAGUACAGUGUUGGUAUUUAAUAAAUGGUCAAUAGAGGUGA